UAAGGAAUAUUGGUCAAUGGGCGGAAGCCUGAACCAGCCAUGCCGCGUGGAGGAUGAAGGUCCUCUGGAUUGUAAACUUCUUUUAUCUGGGAAGAAAUGCAUCUUUUCUAAGGUGUUUGACGGUACCAGAUGAAUAAGCACCGGCUAACUCCGUGCCAGCAGCCGCGGUAAUACGGAGGGUGCAAGCGUUAUCCGGAUUCACUGGGUUUAAAGGGUGCGUAGGUGGGUUAUUAAGUCAGUGGUGAAAUCUCCGGGCUCAACUCGGAAACUGCCAUUGAUACUAGUAGUCUUGAAUAUCGUGGAGGUAAGCGGAAUAUGUCAUGUAGCGGUGAAAUGCUUAGAUAUGACAUAGAACACCAAUUGCGAAGGCAGCUUACUACCCGAAUAUUGACACUGAGGCACGAAAGCGUGGGGAUCAAAC
Molecule: ribosomal RNA, 421 nt
Filed under: uncultured bacterium
Lineage: Bacteria
Description: bacterial SSU rRNA
Rfam family: Bacterial small subunit ribosomal RNA
Source: RNAcentral